This 1346-nucleotide ribosomal RNA is filed under the name uncultured bacterium. RNAcentral's name for it is "bacterial SSU rRNA". It matches the Rfam family "Bacterial small subunit ribosomal RNA", at positions 28 to 1381 of the family's 1533-position model. The record is from RNAcentral.
GACGAACGCUGGCGGCGUGCUUAACACAUGCAAGUCGAACGGAAAGGCCCUGCUUUUGUGGGGUGCUCGAGUGGCGAACGGGUGAGUAACACGUGAGUAACCUGCCCUUGACUUUGGGAUAACUUCAGGAAACUGGGGCUAAUACCGGAUAGGAGCUCCUGCUGCAUGGUGGGGGUUGGAAAGUUUCGGCGGUUGGGGAUGGACUCGCGGCUUAUCAGCUUGUUGGUGGGGUAGUGGCUUACCAAGGCUUUGACGGGUAGCCGGCCUGAGAGGGUGACCGGCCACAUUGGGACUGAGAUACGGCCCAGACUCCUACGGGAGGCAGCAGUGGGGAAUAUUGCACAAUGGGCGGAAGCCUGAUGCAGCAACGCCGCGUGCGGGAUGACGGCCUUCGGGUUGUAAACCGCUUUCGCCUGUGACGAAGCGUGAGUGACGGUAAUGGGUAAAGAAGCACCGGCUAACUACGUGCCAGCAGCCGCGGUGAUACGUAGGGUGCGAGCGUUGUCCGGAUUUAUUGGGCGUAAAGGGCUCGUAGGUGGUUGAUCGCGUCGGAAGUGUAAUCUUGGGGCUUAACCCUGAGCGUGCUUUCGAUACGGGUUGACUUGAGGAAGGUAGGGGAGAAUGGAAUUCCUGGUGGAGCGGUGGAAUGCGCAGAUAUCAGGAGGAACACCAGUGGCGAAGGCGGUUCUCUGGGCCUUUCCUGACGCUGAGGAGCGAAAGCGUGGGGAGCGAACAGGCUUAGAUACCCUGGUAGUCCACGCUGUAAACGGUGGGUACUAGGUGUGGGGUCCAUUCCACGGGUUCCGUGCCGUAGCUAACGCUUUAAGUACCCCGCCUGGGGAGUACGGCCGUAAGGCUAAAACUCAAAGGAAUUGACGGGGCCCCGCACAAGCGGCGGAGCAUGCGGAUUAAUUCGAUGCAACGCGUAGAACCUUACCUGGGUUUGACAUGGAUCGGGAGCGCUCAGAGAUGGGUGUGCCUCUUUUGGGGUCGGUUCACAGGUGGUGCAUGGCUGUCGUCAGCUCGUGUCGUGAGAUGUUGGGUUAAGUCCCGCAACGAGCGCAACCCUUGUUCACUGUUGCCAGCACGUUAUGGUGGGGACUCAGUGGAGACCGCCGGGGUCAACUCGGAGGAAGGUGGGGAUGACGUCAAGUCAUCAUGCCCCUUAUGUCCAGGGCUUCACGCAUGCUACAAUGGCUGGUACAGAGAGUGGCGAGCCUGUGAGGGUGAGCGAAUCUCGGAAAGCCGGUCUCAGUUCGGAUUGGGGUCUGCAACUCGACCUCAUGAAGUCGGAGUCGCUAGUAAUCGCAGAUCAGCAACGCUGCGGUGAAUACGUUCCCGGGGCU